CUCAAGGCUUUUUUUAAAGCCACUUCAUUUUACAUUACCGGGGUGG
Buceros rhinoceros silvestris is the source of this 46-nucleotide non-coding RNA. The record is from Rfam. Lineage: Eukaryota; Metazoa; Chordata; Aves; Bucerotiformes; Bucerotidae.